GGGCUCUUGGCACAGGGGUAGUGUGCACACCUUGCAUGGUAGUAUGGCAACAUAGUCUGCAUAUGUGUGAGGUUGUGGGUUCAAAUCCCACAGUGUCCA
This 99-nucleotide transfer RNA is filed under the name Laccaria bicolor S238N-H82. It matches the Rfam family "tRNA". From Rfam's summary of the family: Transfer RNA (tRNA) molecules are approximately 80 nucleotides in length. Their secondary structure includes four short double-helical elements and three loops (D, anti-codon, and T loops). Lineage: Eukaryota; Fungi; Basidiomycota; Agaricomycetes; Agaricales; Hydnangiaceae. The record is from Rfam by way of RNAcentral.